GUUAAAUCUCAGGCUCCGGCGUCUGGGGAGAAGUUAUAAUUAUUCAAUAUGUUCCCACUGACUGAGGAAAACAAGCAUGUGGCCCAGUUGUUGCUCAAUACUGGUACUUGUCCAAGAUGUAUCUUCAGAUUCUGUGGUGUGGAUUUUCAUGCACCUUACAAACUUCCAUACAAGGAGUUGCUCAAUGAACUACAGAAAUUUCUGGAAACUGAAAAAGAUGAAUUAAUUUUGGAAGUUAUGAACCCACCUCCCAAGAAAAUUCGACUGCAAGAACUGGAAGAUAGUAUUGAUAAUCUAAGUCAAAAUGGAGAGGGAAGGAUCUCUGUUAGUCAUGUUGGAAGCACUGCUUCCAAGAACUCAAAUUUAA
This 367-nucleotide long non-coding RNA is filed under the name Homo sapiens (human). Its description in RNAcentral is "HSALNT0032274". Lineage: Eukaryota; Metazoa; Chordata; Mammalia; Primates; Hominidae. The record is from RNAcentral.